RNAcentral lists this unclassified non-coding RNA (754 nucleotides) under Hevea brasiliensis (rubber tree). The record is from RNAcentral. Lineage: Eukaryota; Viridiplantae; Streptophyta; Magnoliopsida; Malpighiales; Euphorbiaceae.
AAGGUGCCAACUUGGGACACCCUUGUUAUGAGGGCUGUACCUGAUGCAGCACGAGUUGCUGCUUAUAGGUUUGGCAUGUCUAUUCGUUUGAUCAGGAACAUAUGCUUGUUCCAUGAAAUUUUUGCCAUGCCUGUCCUGGAAGAGCUGGUUCUUGAUCAACUCUUAAGUGGAAAGAUUGUACCUCAUCUUCGAAGCAUUCAGUCAAACAUUCAUGAUGCUGUAACAAGAACUGAAAGAGUUGUCACUUCACUACACGGUGUCUGGGCUGGCCCCAAAGCCACAGGAGACUGCAGUCCAAAGCUACGACCGUUGGUGGAUUACUUGCUCUCACUUGCCAGGGUGCUCGAAAAGAAGCACUCAUCAAGCAGCGGAGAGAUAGAGACAUCUAAAUUUGCUCGUCGGUUGAAGAAGAUGCUCGUAGAAUUGAAUCAAUAUGAUUAUGCCAGGGACAUAUCAAGAACCUUCAACAUCAAGGAGGCCUUGUGAUCUAUCUACUUGGUCCCCAUUGUCUUAAAAAACUCAUGGGAUGUUCUCAGUUUUAGCAGUCUUCUACAAUUUUGAAUUUCAUGUCAUUAGUUUUUCUUUUAGUGUAGUUACAAAAAUAACAAAUUUUGAUGAUACAAAUGAAGCUUAAACGAAGAACCGAAGGAUUUCAUAUAGUCGACCCUAAUUUGUUUGGGCACAAAGUGUAGUUUGUUGUAUUGUAGUCCCAGAUUACCCUACGUCUACACAAGGGAUUGUGCUUUUCUUUUAU